GACGAACGCUGGCGGCGUGCUUAACACAUGCAAGUCGAACGGAAAGGCCCUGCUUUUGUGGUGUGCUCGAGUGGCGAACGGGUGAGUAACACGUGAGUAACCUGCCCUUGACUUUGGGAUAACUUCAGGAAACUGGGGCUAAUACCGGAUAGGAGCUCCUGCUGCAUGGUGGGGGUUGGAAAGUUUCGGCGGUUGGGGAUGGACUCGCGGCUUAUCAGCUUGUUGGUGGGGUAGUGGCUUACCAAGUCUUUGACGGGUAGCCGGCCUGAGAGGGUGACCGGCCACAUUGGGCCUGAGAUACGGCCAAAAAUACUACGGGCGGUAGCAGUGGGAAAUGGUACACAAGGAGAGGAAGCCUGAUGCAGCAACGCCGCGUGCGGGAUGACGGCCUCCGGGUUGUAAACCGCUUUAGCCUGUGACGACGCGUGAGUGACGGUAAUGGGUAUAGAAGCACCGGUUAACUACGUG
This 468-nucleotide ribosomal RNA is filed under the name uncultured bacterium. Its description in RNAcentral is "partial 16S ribosomal RNA". It matches the Rfam family "Bacterial small subunit ribosomal RNA", at positions 28 to 507 of the family's 1533-position model. The record is from RNAcentral.